RNAcentral lists this transfer RNA (71 nucleotides) under Sphenodon punctatus (tuatara). RNAcentral's name for it is "tRNA-Pro". Lineage: Eukaryota; Metazoa; Chordata; Lepidosauria; Sphenodontia; Sphenodontidae. The record is from RNAcentral.
UCAAGAAAAGAGGACCUUUCCCCUAUCCCCGGCUCCCAGAACCGGAGUUUUAAAUAAACUAUUUCUUGACA